UGCGCGUGAUUCGAUUGUUGCGGACGAAAGGGUGAAAAGCAGAUGGCAUGAAACUGAAAGAAGAAAUCCCGCCCAAACAAGAUUGACUGAAGAUCAAGAGGAUAGCUCUAAUUUUUUUUCUCGCAUCAGCACGGAUCCACUCAUCUGUGGAUUAAAUACCCAUUUUUAUUACGGGUUGAUAACUCCAAGCGUGUAAUUUUCCCAAGAGCUCGGUGGUUUUCUAGUUAAGUGGACCACAAAAAUCGACGAGCCGACUAUAUAAAGCCGUUUUCGAGGAUUUCAUGGCAUUAGUCUCAUCAUCAUCCUCCUCUGCAACGCAUCUAGAAAGUUGAAGAUGAACGAAAAAAAAUUUUCGAUAAAAGUUAGAGUUCAGAGGGUCAUUAGGCCAAUUGUCCCAGCAAAACUUGACCUAGAAAGUGGUUGAACGUCAUUUACCUUAGUUAAUUAAUAAAAUUUAUCAAAUAAAAAUAAUCCUGACUAGCGCGAGUGUAAUAGAAUACGUUUUUGAGACGAUUUUAAUCUGUGAAAGAGUGAAAAUUAUACAAUAAGAAGUGGAUUUUUUCCGUUUAUUGGAUAAUAUGCAGUCCAAUAAAGUGUAACUGAACGUUCAAUGAAAUAAUAAUAUGUAAGAUCGAUAAAUUAGUCAGUAAGUGUAUUGUGUUCAAUUUUAUUUAUUAUGUCUGAAUGAAUUGGAGGGUGCGAUGUCAUCGGUGAUUUAAUUUAUGAUUUUAAACCAAAUGAAAGAAGUUUAAUGUAAAAACUGUUAUAUUAACAUUAUAGUGUCGGACCAUACUCAGAGUUAAAGACACCCUAAAAUGGUCUCCUCUCUAUUUUAUUGUUAUUUUAUAAUUUUUCUUUUUACUACCGUAAAUUUCAAUUUUGUAACACGAUUCGUUUUUUCACUUAUUACCAUUGCAAAAUUAAAUUCGCAGUUUGUUUGCAAAUUCUCUGUCUGUGUUUAAAGUACCAACUAAAAUGAAAGGUACGAUGUUGAAUAGGAAAAAGAGCAUUUGUAUUUUUCAAAGUUUAAACUGUAGUACUUUUGAAUUUUACUAUGUAACAUAUAAAAUUUUUGAAUAAAUGACGUCUGCUUUUGUAGUGGAAUAUUCCCUAGAAAUAUCUACUAUGGUAGCAUUUUUUAACUAAUAAAAAUUCCUUUCUGCGUAACGAGUGAUGGCAAAAAUUAGAAUACCCAAAUUUGUCAUUUUUCCCUCAAUGGGAAAGUGAAAUUUCCUCUGACGUUCUGCCAUUUUCAUGUUGUUAAAUGGUUCCAUUGUGUUGAGUAAUUUUUGCUAAUAUUUUCGUGGGAAUAAUUAUUCCACAUUGUCAGCGGUGCAAAUCAAUGGGAAUAACGUCGUGAAAAUUCGGCAAAUAAAAUUAUGGUGUGCAGUUAUAGUGAGGAAUGGCGGUGAAGUAAAGGCAAUAUUUUGGCACAGGCACUCGUAACUUUGGAUAACGGCAUUUGUUUCGUCUUUCUACGAUCUCUCUCCUCAUCCUCUGGCAGUGCACAACUCUACUAAUAAUAUUGAGCCACGAGUUAUCUACUCGGUUGUUGGUGGUGAUUAAUGGUGGACAAUGAAACUUGCUGAAAGACUCAGCAUGGGAGUGUAACAAAGUUGGAAGGAUAUUUGGCAAGUGUCUUCUAGGUUUCCAUAAAGGAGUACAUGCUUCAACUAUUAUUCACGUCUCCUCAAUGCAGACUGGAAGCUCGAGGCAAAGACGAGAGGCAUCUUCAGGGGCCUGAGAAUGUCGGGUUAGGAUCCUCGAGUGUCAUCGACUUAACUCAUCCUCCAUCUCUCUCCAUCCAAGGCCUAGUUGCUUCCGCCAAGAGGUUCCCCCAAGGGCUUGAGGAUCAAGUCAGCAUAAUAAGCUUUAUGCACUACGUGAAUUCUCUCGGUUUUGGUAUUCCGAGUAUCUGGAUGUCGUACUCGUGUGUCUACGCAGUCUGUCGAAACAUCGAGGAUACUUGUCCCACCGGGGGUACUAUAGGCGGUACCAUGUCUCGUCGCACAAGCAAAGUCAACAGAUGCCUUCAACAGACGGUAUUUCACCGCUUGCAUUUUCAACACGCACUAAUUUCAACAUAUACUGUUUUCAUAUAAACAAAUUCAACGGAGACAUUUCACGAAAACAAUUUAAACGCAUGUCCUUCAGGUGAGAGAGUACCCGAUGCAUAAUCGGAAGGUUCCGGGUUCGAAUCCAGGUCUGGACUAUCCAUUUUUUGAGUACAAUUUUCUUGUAAAAUUAUAUCGAGACGAAUCCUGAUGCCGGAAGGUCCAGGGUUCGAACUCGAAUCUGGAGUAUCCAUUUUUUCACUAAAAUUUUCUUGUCAAAGUAAACCCAGAUUAAUCCAAAUUUGAUGCCUAUCCCAUCUCAAAAUCAUAUUAAACAAGUGCCUGUGACGUCAUAAGAUGUCGAACACUAUAAAAAUGUCUCGUAUUGCAUGUGACCUACACAUGUGAGCUACAUGGUCAUCUGGAAGUUGAUUAUGGUUUUUUUUGUUGAAAAAUAUGGGGAGUAGUUGAUCUAUUGAAUUUUGCAUGUAUUAAAUUUUUUUGUGUUGAUUUCUUUGAUUGAAACUGCAAAUGUCACCAUUGCCUUGUAUUAUUACAGCCGGGAAUCGAGCCCGGAUCUCCCAGUUUUGAGACCCAGUGCCCAAUUUAAUUCGUUAGGCAGAUUUUUUGGAUUUAUUUUUUAAGUCCCGAAGAAUUUCCACCAAUAGAGAGAAAUUGUCAGCAAAAAUUGCGGAAUUGACUGAUUUUGCAUUUAUCAUUUUCUUCCUUUUUUAAUUAUCAAGUAAUUCAUCGUGAAACAAUUUUCUAGAAAAUCCACGUUAGGACAUAGUAACUCCCAGAAAAUGAAAUAAUUACGAGUUAAGGGCCCACGUGUUUUGGUUUUAAUGCAGCGAAUCCUUCGAUAACUUGUAAUUGUUUUAAUUUAUUUCCAAAAAUAAACAUUGUUGGCCUUUCAGAAAUAAUCUAAGUAUUUCCAGAUUUUUUUCUAUCUUCUCUAUAUCGAUAGCAAUGCUUUAAUUCAACUCAAAUAGUGUACCGAAUGAAUGUUUGGUAUUUCCAUUUACUCCAGAAUGAGGUAAAUUGGAACAAAAAACAAACGAUCUGUCGAUUUAUGCCGUGUUGCCCACUCAAGCCCUCGAGAGUUGGCAUCGACCGAUAGCUGAGUAUCCUCGAACUCGACGAAUAAUAUUGCCCCCGUGAAUUUAACAG
Diachasmimorpha longicaudata is the source of this 3224-nucleotide long non-coding RNA. RefSeq lists it as uncharacterized. The record is from RefSeq and is a predicted model, not a curated record. Lineage: Eukaryota; Metazoa; Arthropoda; Insecta; Hymenoptera; Braconidae. The transcript is spliced from 3 exons.